This 372-nucleotide ribosomal RNA is filed under the name uncultured organism. Its description in RNAcentral is "bacterial SSU rRNA". It matches the Rfam family "Bacterial small subunit ribosomal RNA", at positions 526 to 896 of the family's 1533-position model. The record is from RNAcentral.
CGGAGGGUGCGAGCGUUGUCCGGAAUCACUGGGCGUAAAGGGCGCGUAGGCGGUCUGCUAAGCGUGCGGUGAAAGCCUGGGGCUCAACCCCAGGUCUGCCGUGCGAACUGGUGGACUUGAGCACUGUAGAGGCAGGUGGAAUUCCGGGUGUAGCGGUGGAAUGCGUAGAGAUCCGGAAGAACACCGGUGGCGAAGGCGGCCUGCUGGGCAGUUGCUGACGCUAAAGCGCGACAGCGUGGGGAGCAAACAGGAUUAGAUACCCUGGUAGUCCACGCCGUAAACGAUGGGAACUAGGUGCUUGGGGGAGCGACCCCCUGAGUGCCGGCGCUAACGCAUUAAGUUCCCCGCCUGGGGAGUACGGCCGCAAGGCUG